Molecule: ribosomal RNA, 467 nt
Filed under: uncultured bacterium
Lineage: Bacteria
Description: partial 16S ribosomal RNA
Rfam family: Bacterial small subunit ribosomal RNA
Source: RNAcentral
GACGAACGCUGGCGGCGUGCUUAACACAUGCAAGUCGAACGGAAAGGCCCUGCUUUUGUGGGGUGCUCGAGUGGCGAACGGGUGAGUAACACGUGAGUAACCUGCCCUUGACUUUGGGAUAACUUCAGGAAACUGGGGCUAAUACCGGAUAGGAGCUCCUGCUGCAUGGUGGGGGUUGGAAAGUUUCGGCGGUUGGGGAUGGACUCGCGGCUUAUCAGCUUGUUGGUGGGGUAGUGGCUUACCAAGGCUUUGACGGGUAGCCGGCCUGAGAGGGUGACCGGCCACAUGGGGACUGAGAUACGGCCCAGACUCCUACGGGAGGCAGCAGUGGGGAAUAUUGCACAAUGGGCGGAAGCCUGAUGCAGCAACGCCGCGUGCGGGAUGACGGCCUUCGGGUGGUAAACCGCUUUCGCCUGUGACGAAGCGUGAGUGACGGUAAUGGGGAAAGAAGCACCGGCUAACUACGU